This 463-nucleotide ribosomal RNA is filed under the name uncultured bacterium. RNAcentral describes it as "partial 16S ribosomal RNA". It matches the Rfam family "Bacterial small subunit ribosomal RNA", at positions 28 to 507 of the family's 1533-position model. The record is from RNAcentral.
GACGAACGCUGGCGGCGUGCUUAACACAUGCAAGUCGAACGGUGAACCUCUUCGGAGGGGAUCAGUGGCGAACGGGUGAGUAACACGUGGGCAACCUGCCCCCGGCUCUGGGAUAACUCCAAGAAAUUGGGGCUAAUACCGGAUGUUCACCGCUUCCCGCAUGGGUGGUGGUGGAAAGGGUUUCCGGCUGGGGCUGGGCCCGCGGCCCAUCAGCUUGUUGGUGGGGUAGUGGCCUCCCAAGGCGACGACGGGUAGCCGGCCUGAGAGGGUGGCCGGCCACACUGGGACUGAGACACGGCCCAGACUCCUACGGGAGGCAGCAGUGGGGAAUAUUGCGCAAUGGGCGGAAGCCUGACGCAGCGACGCCGCGUGGGGGAUGACGGCCUUCGGGUUGUAAACCUCUUUCAGCAGGGACGAAGCGCAAGUGACGGUACCUGCAGAAGAAGCACCGGCCAACUACGUG